CCUGCACCGGCACCUGGGUUUCCAGUUCGGCCUUCUUGAUGCGGGUGCCGGUGACCUGGAUCGUGUCCAGGGUGCGGGC
This 79-nucleotide transfer RNA is filed under the name Stenotrophomonas acidaminiphila. Its description in RNAcentral is "tRNA-Ile". Lineage: Bacteria; Pseudomonadati; Pseudomonadota; Gammaproteobacteria; Lysobacterales; Lysobacteraceae. The record is from RNAcentral.